RNAcentral lists this ribosomal RNA (254 nucleotides) under uncultured bacterium. RNAcentral's name for it is "partial 16S ribosomal RNA". It matches the Rfam family "Bacterial small subunit ribosomal RNA", at positions 524 to 776 of the family's 1533-position model. The record is from RNAcentral.
CACGUAGGGUGCGAGCGUUGUCCGGAAUUAUUGGGCGUAAAGAGCUCGUAGGCGGUGUGUCGCGUCGGCCGUGAAAACCUGCAGCUUAACUGUGGGCUUGCGGUCGAUACGGGCAUCACUGGAGUUCGGCAGGGGAGACUGGAAUUCCUGGUGUAGCGGUGAAAUGCGUAGAGAUCACUCGGAAGGCCAGAGCCGAAGGGGCCCAACUGGUACGCAACUGACGCUGAGGCACGAAAGCGUGGGGAGCAAACAGG